Molecule: long non-coding RNA, 355 nt
Filed under: Hordeum vulgare
Lineage: Eukaryota; Viridiplantae; Streptophyta; Magnoliopsida; Poales; Poaceae
Description: long non-coding RNA (HVUL_LNC003441)
Source: RNAcentral
UUUAUUUCUUUGGAUCACCAAAGGCAUAUACAAGGAACUGGAUUCCUCCUAGAAAGGAAGUACAUUCGUGCUAAAAAGAGGAAUUUCAUUGAAGCAUGGUACAUCCAUGUCAGAAGGGGAAAGUAGAACCAUGAAGCAACUCCAUUGUCGAAAUUGAGAAUAUUUAGACUUUUGAAGAAAGAAAAGUGUCUUGAAAAAAAGCAUAUCCUAUAUAAGAAAUUAAAUAAUAAUAGUACUCACUAUGUUUCGAAAUAUAAGACGUUAUUUGCAGUUCGGUUCGAAUGUGAACCGCAAAAUACAUCUUAUAAUUAGGAAUAGAGGUAAUACUUGUAUAACAACAAAUAGUUGGUUUAAC